This 591-nucleotide ribosomal RNA is filed under the name uncultured bacterium. Its description in RNAcentral is "bacterial SSU rRNA". It matches the Rfam family "Bacterial small subunit ribosomal RNA", at positions 102 to 688 of the family's 1533-position model. The record is from RNAcentral.
ACGGGUGAGUAAUGUCUGGGAAACUGCCUGAUGGAGGGGGAUAACUACUGGAAACGGUAGCUAAUACCGCAUAACGUCGCAAGACCAAAGAGGGGGACCUUCGGGCCUCUUGCCAUCAGAUGUGCCCAGAUGGGAUUAGCUAGUAGGUGGGGUAAUGGCUCACCUAGGCGACGAUCCCUAGCUGGUCUGAGAGGAUGACCAGCCACACUGGAACUGAGACACGGUCCAGACUCCUACGGGAGGCAGCAGUGGGGAAUAUUGCACAAUGGGCGCAAGCCUGAUGCAGCCAUGCCGCGUGUGUGAAGAAGGCCUUCGGGUUGUAAAGCACUUUCAGCGAGGAGGAAGGUGGUGAACUUAAUACGUUCAUCAAUUGACGUUACUCGCAGAAGAAGCACCGGCUAACUCCGUGCCAGCAGCCGCGGUAAUACGGAGGGUGCAAGCGUUAAUCGGAAUUACUGGGCGUAAAGCGCACGCAGGCGGUUUGUUAAGUCAGAUGUGAAAUCCCCGGGCUCAACCUGGGAACUGCAUUUGAAACUGGCAAGCUAGAGUCUCGUAGAGGGGGGGUAGAAUUCCAGGUGUAGCGGUGAAAUG